AUGGGUGUGUGCUCGCAUGUGUGCAUGGGUGUGUGUGUGUGCGCGCGUGCGUGCAUGCGUGGGUGUGUGUGUGCAAUCCGGCUCUAAAAGGCUCACAGAAGUGACUGUCUUCUUGAGGAUGCGGUGCCGCUGUUUUAAAUGUCUGCCAGCCCCUUCGCAGCUCGGGGUGAGCACGUGCCCAGGGAUGGGCAGUGACAUGUAAGAGGAAGUCUACAGGAACUUCUGGGAAAGCUGAUGCUCUUCUGAUAAAAGAGACGGCCAUGGGUCCCAGCUUCUUCCUGCCUUGAUUGGGGAUGUGAUGCCUGGAGCCACGGCAGCCCUCUCGCUACAAAGAGAAAAAGGCCAAGAGAAUCUCAAAGACAUUGACCUUAUCAUCAUUGGACCAAGCCAAUGCCUGCAACCUUCCUCCUACAGAACUCUUGUAAAUAGAAAUAAAGCCCUCUUUGGUUAAGCCAUC
Molecule: long non-coding RNA, 457 nt
Organism: Myotis lucifugus (little brown bat)
Lineage: Eukaryota; Metazoa; Chordata; Mammalia; Chiroptera; Vespertilionidae
Exons: 2
Source: RefSeq, a predicted model, not a curated record